This 497-nucleotide ribosomal RNA is filed under the name uncultured bacterium. Its description in RNAcentral is "partial 16S ribosomal RNA". It matches the Rfam family "Bacterial small subunit ribosomal RNA", at positions 28 to 507 of the family's 1533-position model. The record is from RNAcentral.
GAUGAACGCUGGCGGCGUGCCUAAUACAUGCAAGUCGAGCGAACAGACGAGGAGCUUGCUCCUCUGACGUUAGCGGCGGACGGGUGAGUAACACGUGGAUAACCUACCUAUAAGACUGGGAUACCUUCGCGAAACCGGAGCUAAUACCGGAUAAUAUAUUGCACCGCAUGGUUCCAUAGUGAAAUACGGUUUUUCUGUCACUUAUAGCUUGAUCCACGCCGCAUUAGCUAGUUGGUAAGGUAACGGCUUACCAAGGCAACGAUGCGUAGCCGACCUGAGAGGGUGAGCGACAACACGGGAAGUGAGACAGGGACGAGACGCUGACGGGAGGCAGCAGUAGGGAAUCUUACGCAAUGGACGAAAGCGGGACGGAGCAAAACGGCGGGAGUGAUGAAGGAGUUCGGAUCGUAAAACUCUGUAAGUAGGGAAGAAGAAAAGUGUAAGUAACUAUGAACGUCUUGACGGUACCUAAAGAGAAAGCCACGGCUAACUACGUG